RNAcentral lists this long non-coding RNA (225 nucleotides) under Setaria italica (foxtail millet). Its description in RNAcentral is "long non-coding RNA (SITA_LNC003754)". Lineage: Eukaryota; Viridiplantae; Streptophyta; Magnoliopsida; Poales; Poaceae. The record is from RNAcentral.
UGAAGAUAAGGAGUUUUUGGAGUAUAUGUUGUGCUGGGAUGCAAAGAGGAAGGAGAUGUACGAGAAGAGGCUCAGAGAGGAGGCUGCGGAAAAGGAGCACAAGGAAGAGGAGGAAAGGAGGCGUGUUGCUGUGAACAGGGAGGAGAAGGAGAAGAAGCUUGAGCGUGCACGCCGAGCGAAAGCAGUGAUUGAGGAGAAUUUCGAUGCCUUGAGGAAGGGAAAGUG